Molecule: ribosomal RNA, 449 nt
Filed under: uncultured bacterium
Lineage: Bacteria
Description: bacterial SSU rRNA
Rfam family: Bacterial small subunit ribosomal RNA
Source: RNAcentral
UGGGGAAUUUUGGACAAUGGGGGCAACCCUGAUCCAGCCAUCCCGCGUGUGCGAUGAAGGCCUUCGGGUUGUAAAGCACUUUUGGCAGGAAAGAAAUGGCCCUGGAUAAUACCUGGGGCAGAUGACGGUACCUGCAGAAUAAGCACCGGCUAACUACGUGCCAGCAGCCGCGGUAAUACGUAGGGUGCAAGCGUUAAUCGGAAUUACUGGGCGUAAAGCGUGCGCAGGCGGUUCGGAAAGAAAGAUGUGAAAUCCCAGGGCUUAACCUUGGAACUGCAUUUUUAACUACCGAGCUAGAGUGUGUCAGAGGGAGGUGGAAUUCCGCGUGUAGCAGUGAAAUGCGUAGAGAUGCGGAGGAACACCGAUGGCGAAGGCAGCCCCCUGGGAUAACACUGACGCUCAUGCACGAAAGCGUGGGGAGCAAACAGGAUUAGAUACCCCCGUAGUCC